GACUCUGUGGCGCAACGGUAGCGCGUCUGACUCCAGAGAUCAGAAGGUUGCGUGUUCAAAUCAUGUCAGGGUCA
This 74-nucleotide transfer RNA is filed under the name Perca flavescens (yellow perch). It matches the Rfam family "tRNA". Rfam says of the family: Transfer RNA (tRNA) molecules are approximately 80 nucleotides in length. Their secondary structure includes four short double-helical elements and three loops (D, anti-codon, and T loops). The record is from Rfam by way of RNAcentral. Lineage: Eukaryota; Metazoa; Chordata; Actinopteri; Perciformes; Percidae.